AGAUGAUGUUUCCUUUCCUGCCCAAUUUAUCUGGUUAAAACGUCUGAUACACUGUUGAAUAGAAGAGGCAAGGGCACAUGUUCAUGUCUUGUUCCUGAUAUUGGGAGAAAGCAUCCCGUUUUUCACCACUCUGGCCAGGACAGCCUAUCUGUGCAGGAGGCAUUGCUGGCACCCCGUGGGGACUGAGGACCAAGGAGGAGCUGCUCCCCCACACACGAAACGGGGUUUCACCAUGUUAGCCAAGAUGGUCUCGAUCUCCUGACCUCGUGAUCUGCCCGCCUUGGCCUCCCAAAGUGCUGGGAUUAU
This 306-nucleotide long non-coding RNA is filed under the name Pan troglodytes (chimpanzee). RNAcentral's name for it is "lincRNA". The record is from RNAcentral. Lineage: Eukaryota; Metazoa; Chordata; Mammalia; Primates; Hominidae.